UACGUAGGGAGCAAGCGUUGUCCGGAAUCAUUGGGCGUAAAGCGCGCGUAGGCGGCCCUGUAAGUCCGUUGUGAAAGUCAAAGGCUCAACCUUUGAAAGCCGAUGGAUACUGCAGGGCUAGAGUCCGGAAGAGGCGAGUGGAAUUCCUGGUGUAGCGGUGGAAUGCGCAGAUAUCAGGAGGAACAUCAAUAGCGAAGGCAGCUCGCUGGGACGGUACUGACGCUAAGGCGCGAAAGCGUGGGGAGCGAACAGG
This 253-nucleotide ribosomal RNA is filed under the name uncultured bacterium. RNAcentral's name for it is "partial 16S ribosomal RNA". It matches the Rfam family "Bacterial small subunit ribosomal RNA", at positions 524 to 776 of the family's 1533-position model. The record is from RNAcentral.